RNAcentral lists this long non-coding RNA (906 nucleotides) under Olea europaea subsp. europaea. Lineage: Eukaryota; Viridiplantae; Streptophyta; Magnoliopsida; Lamiales; Oleaceae. The record is from RNAcentral.
UCUCAUUGUUGAAAAAAAUAUGGUUUUCCUUGAUUAGGGUCAUAGAUCUCGAGUCCUACUACUGACCAUUCUUCUUCAAAAACAAUGAUUAAACUCUGCCUGAUUUUAUAAUAAAUAGCUGGUUUGUUGUCGUAUCUUCUUGGAAGAGAGAGAUGAUGGCGACAUUGUCUAAUUGUAUCUAGAUAGGGAAAUGGAUAUACAAAAGACUACGCUUUAGGCUUUGUUAACUAUCCUAAAUAUCAUGCCACUAAAUAAGCUUUGUCAACUCCUUCAAAAGGAUGUUAACAGUUGUGUGACUAGAAUGUGGUUCGAGAGGAUCAGUAUCGUCAUUCUGACGAGUGACUUGAUAUGUCCUUCAGAAGGGAAAGCUGUUUAGUGUUGAUUUCCAGAAUAAGUUAAUAUAAGGAGGUUCACCACGAUGAAGUUCAAGAGGAUUUAACAAACUUCACUAUGAAUUUAUGAAUUCUGGCACAAGUCAAUUCGAUUAACUGAGUUUCAGAAUGUCAUGACUGUCAAUUUCCAGCGUACUUUUCUUUGUAUAACUUACAGUAGGGCGGCUAAUCAAAUAAGUUAUCUGAAGUUUCUCAUAGAGUGAUUUGCUAGCAUUUCUAAUUGAUUAAUCUUUCUAUAAUUUGUGAGUUAGAGUAGGAGCUUUGCUUCAGCACUUUGAUUCUGGUUUAUUAUUCUCCAUAAUUGCGAAAUGAUCUCCUUGAACAUACUUUUUGAUUCUGAGAAUCUAAUUGAUGCUGUGCAAUUGCUGUUUAUCAACUUAUCGCCUUCAUCUCCGUGUAUGAACGAAGUUAGUUUAAUUCUCUUCUGGUUACUUGAAUCUCUAUCUAUAUAGCAGUUGGAUCUGAUUCUCGACUAAUUUCAUUUUAUUUUCCGGUUUGAUGUCCAGUCCCAAGC